Long non-coding RNA from Tribolium castaneum (red flour beetle), 1431 nucleotides. RefSeq lists it as uncharacterized. The record is from RefSeq and is a predicted model, not a curated record. The transcript has 3 exons. Lineage: Eukaryota; Metazoa; Arthropoda; Insecta; Coleoptera; Tenebrionidae.
UUCAGUGCAGCAGAAAUUGAAUUUAAAUGUCGAAAGUACAAUAACCGACCGUCGGUCUAAAAAAUUAAGCGUUACUCAUAUUUUGAAUGUUUGAGUAGAUCGAGGAAGGUAGUUAUCUGGAAUUAAUAAAUUAAAUAUUUCGCAAUCUCCUUAUCGUUCGUCCGUGUCAUUCAUAAAUAAUCAAUGAGGCCGAGCUAGUUAUUUCUGAACCCUCAUGUGUCCGACCGCUGGGCAAUUGGAAACAGAUUAAAUCGUUUUUCUCUCGACCACAGAGGAUACUCCAGCAUUAUGAUAAUUGUUGCACUGGAGUCACUUGAGACUUUAGGCUUGUAACAAAAAUCACGUUAUUCGAGUUUCAUCGUUGUAACUCAACUCCACCCAACUGUAUACUCAAUAAGGGAAAGUUUGCCGAGUUUGAAGUUUCACUCUGGUUUUUUGAUGGAAAAGAUUUAUUGGAAUUUUUUUCAGACUUGACGUGCGUCAUAACUUGUUAUAAUUUGAUUGACAAGUUGGGUAUUUGUUUGUAAUUUUAUUAGGGACCGUUGAUUCCACACAACGGAAUUAAUAUUAGGCUUGUGUAAUGUUCGUGGGGAAAUAUUUCAAGGGCCCGACCUCCUCGAAAAUUCAGAUUGGGGGGUAAAUCAGUCACUUUAUAUUCAAAGACUAGGAAUUUGCUCUGUGAUGUGCUGCCCGAAAUAUUUAUCUUUGUUGAUGGAGGAAAAAAUGACGGGCACGUAGAUAACAGCCAUCAAUUGUUACGAGUGCUUUACUAGCUGGAGAGACUCUUCGUCGAUGGCUUUUGUUCCAAAUACGCAAACACAUCGACGAGGGCCAAAGCGGAAUAAUGAUUUUGUGCAUCAAACGGAACCGACACCAACAUUUUUCCCAAACACUCAAGCCACGGGGAUAAUUAUCCCUUAACAAGCUGGCGCAGAGAUUAGUUUUGUCGUUUGUUACAUCACAGUUUUGAUUGCUACAUGCAGAGAUAAAGUGCAGAGGAUGUAAUUAUGCAGAGGAGUCGUAAUAGUUCUGGUGUUGUUUGCAUUUGUAUGAAUUUACAUUUGAAUUAAUUGCUACCGUGCUGGAAAUUUUUAAUUGAGUGUGAGGCUUUCCGUUGUGAUUAUUCAAAAAUAGUUUAUUUUGACACAAUAAUAGAGCGGUUCAUUGUUCACGCGUCAGUUAAAAAAAUGAGUUUUUUUUUAAUAAAAUGGGUUACUGGCAGUCGAAAAGUUCGAUUAAAUGUGUGCCUGAGUCCGAUCCUGUGUGCGAUUGUGGUCAGUUUGCCCUCUGCUGGACUUUUAUUCCCUAUACGUGCAGCGGUGUCGCAGUUUGUGUCAGAUAAAACAACUUGGGCCAGCGCAUAUGUAAUUAUUGUAAUAAUCGUUACGAACUCUGUAUUGUUUUAUGGUUGUGAAAUAUAUUCCGGUUUCU